This is a small nucleolar RNA of Candida albicans SC5314, 69 nucleotides long. NCBI's taxonomy places the organism in Eukaryota, Fungi, Ascomycota, Pichiomycetes, Serinales, Debaryomycetaceae. The record is from RefSeq and is a predicted model, not a curated record.
AAAUUGCAUUCUAUUCACUGCACCAUUUAUAUCAAUGAAUGAAGUGGAGGGGAAAAGAAUGCUAGAUCA